GAUGAACGCUGGCGGCGUGCUUAACACAUGCAAGUCGAACGAUGAAGCCCAGCUUGCUGGGUGGAUUAGUGGCGAACGGGUGAGUAACACGUGAGUAACCUGCCCUUGACUCUGGGAUAAGCCUGGGAAACUGGGUCUAAUACUGGAUAUGACUUCUCAUCGCAUGGUGGGGGGUGGAAAGAUUUAUUGGUCUUGGAUGGACUCGCGGCCUAUCAGCUUGUUGGUGAGGUAAUGGCUCACCAAGGCGACGACGGGUAGCCGGCCUGAGAGGGUGACCGGCCACACUGGGACUGAGACACGGCCCAGACUCCUACGGGAGGCAGCAGUGGGGAAUAUUGCACAAUGGGCGCAAGCCUGAUGCAGCGUCGCCGCGUGAGGGAUGACGGCCUUCGGGUUGUAAACCUCUUUCAGUAGGGAAGAAGCGAGAGUGACGGUACCUGCAGAAGAAGCGCCGGCUAACUACGUG
RNAcentral lists this ribosomal RNA (466 nucleotides) under uncultured bacterium. RNAcentral's name for it is "partial 16S ribosomal RNA". It matches the Rfam family "Bacterial small subunit ribosomal RNA", at positions 28 to 507 of the family's 1533-position model. The record is from RNAcentral.